UAACACGUGGAUAACCUGCCUCAAGGCUGGGGAUAACAUUUGGAAACAGAUGCUAAUACCGAAUAAAACUUAGUAUCGCAUGAUAUCAAGUUAAAAGGCGCUACGGCGUCACCUAGAGAUGGAUCCGCGGUGCAUUAGUUAGUUGGUGGGGUAAAGGCUUACCAAGACGAUGAUGCAUAGCCGAGUUGAGAGACUGAUCGGCCACAUUGGGACUGAGACACGGCCCAAACUCCUACGGGAGGCUGCAGUAGGGAAUCUUCCACAAUGGGCGCAAGCCUGAUGGAGCAACGCCGCGUGUGUGAUGAAGGCUUUCGGGUCGUAAAGCACUGUUGUAUGGGAAGAAAUGCUAAAAUAGGGAAUGAUUUUAGUUUGACGGUACCAUACCAGAAAGGGACGGCUAAAUACGUGCCAGCAGCCGCGGUAAUACGUAUGUCCCGAGCGUUAUCCGGAUUUAUUGGGCGUAAAGCGAGCGCAGACGGUUGAUUAAGUCUGAUGUGAAAGCCCGGAGCUCAACUCCGGAAUGGCAUUGGAAACUGGUUAACUUGAGUGUUGUAGAGGUAAGUGGAACUCCAUGUGUAGCGGUGGAAUGCGUAGAUAUAUGGAAGAACACCAGUGGCGAAGGCGGCUUACUGGACAACAACUGACGUUGAGGCUCGAAAGUGUGGGUAGCAAACAGGAUUAGAUACCCUGGUAGUCCACACCGUAAACGAUGAAUACUAGGUGUUAGGAGGUUUCCGCCUCUUAGUGCCGAAGCUAACGCAUUAAGUAUUCCGCCUGGGGAGUACGACCGCAAGGUUGAAACUCAAAGGAAUUGACGGGGACCCGCACAAGCGGUGGAGCAUGUGGUUUAAUUCGAAGCAACGCGAAGAACCUUACCAGGUCUUGACAUCCUUUGAAGCUUUUAGAGAUAGAAGUGUUCUCUUCGGAGACAAAGUGACAGGUGGUGCAUGGUCGUCGUCAGCUCGUGUCGUGAGAUGUUGGGUUAAGUCCCGCAACGAGCGCAACCCUUAUUGUUAGUUGCCAGCAUUCAGUUGGGCACUCUAGCGAGACUGCCGGUGACAAACCGGAGGAAGGCGGGGACGACGUCAGAUCAUCAUGCCCCUUAUGACCUGGGCUACACACGUGCUACAAUGGCGUAUACAACGAGUUGCCAACCUGCGAAGGUGAGCUAAUCUCUUAAAGUACGUCUCAGUUCGGACUGCAGUCUGCAACUCGACUGCACGAAGUCGGAAUCGCUAGUAAUCGCGGAUCAGCACGCCGCGGUGAAUACGUUCCCGGGUCUUGUACACACCGCCCGUCACACCAUGGGAGUUUGUAAUGCCCAAAGCCG
Molecule: ribosomal RNA, 1330 nt
Filed under: Leuconostoc citreum
Lineage: Bacteria; Bacillati; Bacillota; Bacilli; Lactobacillales; Lactobacillaceae
Description: bacterial SSU rRNA
Rfam family: Bacterial small subunit ribosomal RNA
Source: RNAcentral